This 87-nucleotide transfer RNA is filed under the name bacterium. Its description in RNAcentral is "tRNA-Leu". It matches the Rfam family "tRNA". Rfam says of the family: Transfer RNA (tRNA) molecules are approximately 80 nucleotides in length. Their secondary structure includes four short double-helical elements and three loops (D, anti-codon, and T loops). The record is from RNAcentral.
GCGGACAUGGCGGAACUAGGUAUACGCAACGGCCUUAAAAGCCGUCGGCCAUUGGCCUUGUGGGUUCGAGUCCCACUGUCCGCACCA